Molecule: small nuclear RNA, 158 nt
Filed under: Dasypus novemcinctus (nine-banded armadillo)
Lineage: Eukaryota; Metazoa; Chordata; Mammalia; Cingulata; Dasypodidae
Description: U2 spliceosomal RNA (ENSDNOG00000028997.1)
Rfam family: U2 spliceosomal RNA (bases 1-119)
About the family: U2 is a small nuclear RNA (snRNA) component of the spliceosome (involved in pre-mRNA splicing).
Source: RNAcentral
CUCCCCUCCAAACCUGUUUUGGCCAAGAUCAAGUGUAGUAUCUGCUCUUAUCAGUUUAAUAUCUGAUAUAUUUCCUGUCCUACAUGGUAUAUUCAAUGUCCUCAAUAUUAAAAACCACAGGUUAUUUUACCAAAAUAAAAUGACACUGUGUCUUGAAA